GCCUUGGUGGCUUAGUGGGUUAAGCGUCUGAUUUCCCCUCAGGUCAUGCUCUCAUGGUUUGUGAGUUCGAGCCUCGCAUGGGGCU
RNAcentral lists this transfer RNA (85 nucleotides) under Felis catus (domestic cat). It matches the Rfam family "tRNA". Rfam says of the family: Transfer RNA (tRNA) molecules are approximately 80 nucleotides in length. Their secondary structure includes four short double-helical elements and three loops (D, anti-codon, and T loops). Further hydrogen bonds mediate the characteristic L-shaped molecular structure. tRNAs have two regions of fundamental functional importance: the anti-codon, which is responsible for specific mRNA codon recognition, and the 3' end, to which the tRNAs corresponding amino acid is attached (by aminoacyl-tRNA synthetases). tRNAs cope with the degeneracy of the genetic code in two manners: having more than one tRNA (with a specific anti-codon) for a particular amino acid; and 'wobble' base-pairing, i.e. permitting non-standard base-pairing at the 3rd anti-codon position. Lineage: Eukaryota; Metazoa; Chordata; Mammalia; Carnivora; Felidae. The record is from Rfam by way of RNAcentral.